GGACCGAAGGGUGGGAGUUUCGCCCCCAUGGGCCGCAGGUCCUGAGGAUUAUAUCACACCGUCUUGAUUGCCAUUUUAUUCGUGAGAUCCGAUCAGCCCAGGUGAUCUAUGUAAGAAUUGGACUAAAUGUGGAAAUCCACUUCUGGAAAAUGUCUGACAGCCACUCUUUACCACUGUUGCCUGCAACAGAGCUGGUCACGCAUCGCAAGGGAUUAGGACCAAAAUUGAGGCAUCCAGCACCCCGUGUUUCCCACCUGGGUGGAAAAGCGGAGGGAAGCGCCAGGGCGGAACUGGCUGCUGUGUCUCAAGGACUCUAGGAGAAGCCUCGGUCCCCGGGGCGGCAAAGGGGACCCGAGUGAGGCUUGAGGACUUAGAAAUGACAAUGGCGCCAGGGAGCGUCCCAGAUACCGGCUUCCAAGCGGCUAAAGCGGCUGAGGCGCGAAGAAGAAGCAGUGUAUCUCCCGUGCCCUCUGCUGACAAAGCUUAACAUCACGCCAGCCAUCAAAGGAAAGAUAUUUAAAGGCCCAGAUCCUUUUUUGGAGAGCAGACAAUGAAGGAUACACUUGGAGCUGAGAGGCGAGUAAUUGAUAACUGGUGCAACUCGGCUCAAACAUCCACAGAAAUUCUAUAGUUCAGCCAUAUUUUGCUUAAGGCUUGAGACAAUGAGAAAUACAUCAAGGAGUUCCCGUCAUGGCGCGGUGGUUAACGAAUCCCGACUAGGAACCAUGAGGUUUCGGGUUCGAUCCCUGGCCUUGCUCAGUGGGUGGUGUAGGUUGCAGACGUGGCUCGGCUCAGAUCCCGCAGCUGUAGCCACCAGCCUAUGCCACAGGCACAGCAACACAGAUCCGAGCUGCACCUGCGACCUACACCACAGCUCACAGCAAUGCUGGAUCCUUAACCCACUGAGCGAGGCCUAGGAUCGAACCCACAACACUCAUGUUUCCUGGUUGGAUUCGUUAACCACUGAGCCACGACAGGAACAACCUUAUCUUCAGCAGUGAGGCCUUCCAGGGAGGCUACAUGGGCCUGGGAAGGAAAGGGAGAGUGGAGAGUGUUCUCUGAGGAAGCCACAGGAGGACUGGCAAAGGGCGGACGGCUCAGGGAUACUCUAUUAGCUCUACCUUGAUCUGGGCAACUGUCUCCAGGCCGGUCACUUCAAGAGCAUGCAGCUCCCAGACGUGGACAAACAGCUGUAUCUUGGCGACCUGACAGAGAAGAGUGAGGUCAGGAGCGGGGAGACGUAGGGGGAGAGGGGUGGGAGUACAGGACAGUUCUUGGGUCCGAAGGGCGCUUGUGCAGCGGACCGCAUUCUUAGGAGAAUCGUGAGGCAGAGCUGGCCAGAGCCCGUAGGAGGGGCACAAGCGGGGCAGGUCAGGACCUGCUUCCUGGUCCUCGGAGCCCUGCAGCCGUCAGUCCCUCAGGUUUCACGGUUCCGUUCUACCAGGAUCUUACCUGGACCCUGUCUCGCGACGCCGCUGUAACCGUGGAAACACAACUCAGAAGCGGGCGCGAACACAUCCGCCACUAGGGGCGCAGUGUGUCCCUGCCGCGAGCCUUCUCACGCCUUCCACUGGGGCCACACCCCCUCCUUUGCCGCGCCCCUCCACGAUCUGCGCAGGCGCGGGCACCGGCCUGGGCGCCGAGGCUUUCGGAGGGGUUGGCCAAGACGGCAGCGCGCGUGUUCCGUCCGACGCUUGGUGAGCUGGAAAGUUGGCUCCCUGCCCGACUGUGGACCGCGGGAAAUGAUGGGAGCCGCUAGGUCUAGCACUCUUAGGAAGGCCCAGAUUUUUGUCGGGACCUCGGAACAAUGAGUUUUUCUCCUUCAAGAUGACAUUUUUAAAAGCAGAGACAGGGUUUUGGGGCGCACAGGAUAGACGGUAUGACGUGGCUUCAGGUGUGGCUAGCAGAGGUUUUCGCCCAGGAUGGGGAGGCGGCGGAGGUCACAGUUGGCUGCAGCUACGGAAAGCACAUUUGGUGCGGCUGCCUUAUUUCACUUAGGCAGGGGGAAGGAGGCAGGUGUGGAGGUGAAACUGCCCGGAUCGGUGGGUCCCAGAGCCUCGGUGCCCCAGCUUUGCAGUCCCUUUCUUGUAACCUUCAGGCCUAGUCCAGCACUGGACUCUGGUUCUGGAAAGAGAAAUACUCGAAGAGCGUCCUUAAGGCAGAAUAGUUAAGUUACAAAUUGUAGAAAAAAAAUCUACAACUCAGAAUUUAACCCUCCCCAGCCCUAAAUUUCAGUGAAGCUGGGUAAAAAUAACUAGGUAAGUUGGUCCCAGAAAAAUAGACUUAAAUAUUGAAAACUUUAAAUCUUGGCCUUGUGUAAUGGUUCAGACUUUGUAGCCAGACUGAGUUCAAAUCUCAGCUCUGUUCUGUAUGGCUUAUAAUGUUAUGACCUUGGACAAGUCACAUGAUCUUUGUACCUCAGUUUUCUUUUUCUUUUUGACUUUUUAGGGCCAUACCUGCAGCAGGCUAGGGGUCGAGUAGGAGCUAUAGGUGCCAGCCUACUCCACAGCCACUGCAAUGCAGGAUCUGAGCCUGAUCUAUACCACAGCUCAUGGGAACGUGGGACCCUUAACCCACUGAAUGGGGCCAGGGAUUGAACCCAUGUCCUCAUGGAUACUAGUUAGGUUCAUUACCACUGAGCCAGGACGGGAACUUCUGCAGUUAGCUUCUUUAACCCACUGUGCCACAGCGGGAACUCCUCAUCCCUUUUUUUCUUCCUUGUAUGCCAGCAGCAUCCCAGAGCCCUCAAAGCACAUACUGUGUCCCAUCCUUUAUUUGGGAGUGGAGGUGUUGAGAGUGUGCCAUGGCUUGUAGAAGUUCCUGGGCCAGGGAUCAAACCUGCACCAUAGCAGUGACAACACUGGAUCCUUAACCCACUGUGCCCCCAGGGAACUCCUGCUGUGUCUUGAGUGCUAGCACCUCCACUCCAUGUGAGCCCAGGAUAUGGGGGUAGCGUGAAGGCUCUCGGGGACCUCCAGGUGCACUGUGAGGACAAUAGCAUCCAGCACCUUUGCCCUUGGCAUUGGUGGAAGAGCCCUACUCCCACACCUCAUGGUCUGCUGAACCUGUGCUUGGCUGGGUGGGAAUGGGAUCUAUGGUGAGAUCCCCCAGAGCAGGCAUCCCUCCUCCUGGGGAGGAGACAGAGGGCAGAUGGGGAAAGGUGAAGCACCCAGAAGACCUCAGUGGCAGGAUGCCCCCAGCAGGCCUGUUCUUGGCCUUGCCUCUCUUCCAUCCCUACUGGACAGGUGGCAUAAUGAGAACAUGGGCUUCUCUGGGUCUGAUUCUGGCCCUGCCACUCACUGCUGGUGUGACCUGGGUUAAUCACUAGCCUCUAUCAAACUCAGUUUCAGCAAAAUAGAGAUAAUCCUACACUGGACUUCAGAGGGCUCUUGGGAGGAUAAAAUGAGGAUGCACAUAAAUCACUUAGAACUCUGCUCCUUUGUUUCAAAGAUUUUCCUGAGCCUUCCUGCCCUAAAGAAGGGAGAUGUCAGCCCGAGAGUCACCUAAAGACCCACUGCAGCUGCGGUGCUGGGCUCUUCAUUUAUCCGUGCGUUUCUGCCUCCGUGGGGGGUGCUUUCAGAGGUGCAGGAUGUUCCCCCUCGUCUGCAGUGACCACCCACACCAGCUCCAUGUGAGAAGGGGGUAGCAGCUGGUUACUGGGUGGUGGUUCAGGCUUCUGGCCUCUGCCUUUUCGGGGCUAUAGAGAUAGGACCCAGAAGGCCAGGCUGCCCUCUGGAGAAAGAAGCCCCUGGCUGGGCCUGACUGGCCUUCCCUCUGGCCCCACAGAAGGCUGUGGAGGGCUUCGCCAUGACGCUGCUGGAUGUGAUGCCCAUCACCCAGAUCAGUGAGGUCUUGGGACCACGCUGGCCGAGGGCCGCUACAUCCUGGCCCCUAGAGAAGGGCUUCUGAAGCCUGCGCUACAGUGUCGCCCGCAUUACUGCCAUGCUCAAGGGGCCUCUGAGCUGGGGAGAGGUGCUGGAACUGGGACAUGGGGAGCACAGUGACUGGAUCUUGAGCCCUGGCCCUGCCCUGAAAGGGGUGCGGGUGGGAACCCACAGAAGUAUCAGCAGUGGAGGAAGGCUGACAGGGCUGGGGUCAACGGCUAGGAGCCUUCAGGGAGGGGCGUUUGUAGAGACCCACCUGGUGCAGCCAAGCAAGGGGUGGGGCGGGCUGCUGGCACCCGUGUCCAGCCCCUUCCUGCUUCGCAGGUGGCGCUUCUGGCCCUCUCCCUGGCGGGAGCAUAUGUCCUAACCCAGCUCUAGCAGGAGGCAAAUUCAGCCUCUGAAGUUCAUGUGGAACUAGGCCCCCUUGUCUCUGUGACCUGUGAGUAUGGCUGAGCCCCUGCCCUGGGCCUGGCCGGGCAGUGUGGGGCCCUACAGAGCUGGGCCUGGAGGACAGUGGCCCUGGGAGGAAGGGUUCCCUGGUGGAGGGGGGAACCAGCCAUGGUGUGCCCGCAGUCUCUUCCACCCCAGAUCCUCUUUGUCCACCCAGACAUGGCAGCCCACUCUACAAGCUUAGAGGGCAGGUUCUUCACUCCGCCUCUGGUUGCCUUGGUGAAGGCUCGUCCCCUUUCUCCACUUGGACAUGGCAGCCCCCAAGCGGCUUCCAGGGCCCUUGGGCUGGUGCCUGAUGCAGAGUAGCAGUGGGGGGGAGCAGCAGUUUCAAGGACCCAGGACAAGCAUGUCCCCUUCUCAUGGUCACUCUGGCUUCCCCUCAUGUCCAGGGUGAGGUGCUGCCUUCCAGCUGGAUGAAGCUGUAGGGAAGGUGUCCUUUUUCUGGUCGUUCCCCUCCCAGGCAGAUGGGGACAAGCCACCCAAGCAUUGAGAGGGAGCCUGCAGGCCAGAGGAUGCUGGCCCUCCCGCUCCCCACCCUUUGCCUCCACGUGUGAGCAGGGCCUGAAGCUGAACCCCUGUGGGAGGAGAGGGGUGCAGUGGAGUACAAGCUUUGGGGUCUCCCAGACCUGGACUCAAAUCACACUAGACAGUGCAAUUCCUACUCUCUAAAUGACGGCACAAUUUCAGAUUAAAAAAUAAAAAACUGAGAUAGCACUUCACACUAGGAUGGCCAUGAUUUUUUAAUUAAAAAAAUUUUUUUUCCUUUUUACUGCCCAACCUCAGCAUAUG
Molecule: long non-coding RNA, 5123 nt
Filed under: Sus scrofa (pig)
Lineage: Eukaryota; Metazoa; Chordata; Mammalia; Artiodactyla; Suidae
Description: lncRNA (ENSSSCG00055019575.1)
Source: RNAcentral